RNAcentral lists this ribosomal RNA (433 nucleotides) under uncultured bacterium. Its description in RNAcentral is "partial 16S ribosomal RNA". It matches the Rfam family "Bacterial small subunit ribosomal RNA", at positions 29 to 507 of the family's 1533-position model. The record is from RNAcentral.
AACGAACGCUGGCGGCAUGCCUAACACAUGCAAGUCGAGCGAGACCUUCGGGUCUAGUGGCGCACGGGUGCGUAACGCGUGGGAACCUGCCCUUAGGUUCGGAAUAACUCCCCGAAAGGGGUGCUAAUACCGGAUAAUGUCUUCGGACCAAAGAUUUAUCGCCUUUGGAUGGGCCCGCGUUGGAUUAGCUAGUUGGUAGGGUAAAAGCCUACCAAGGCGACGAUCCAUAGCUGGUCUGAGAGGAUGAUCAGCCACACUGGGACUGAGACACGGCCCAGACUCCUACGGGAGGCAGCAGUGGGGAAUAUUGGACAAUGGGCGAAAGCCUGAUCCUGCAAUGCCGCGUGAGUGAUGAAGGCCUUAGGGUUGUAAAGCUCUUUUACCCGGGAUGAUAAUGACAGUACCGGGAGAAUAAGCUCCGGCUAACUCCGUC